Molecule: ribosomal RNA, 466 nt
Filed under: uncultured bacterium
Lineage: Bacteria
Description: SSU rRNA
Rfam family: Bacterial small subunit ribosomal RNA
Source: RNAcentral
AGGACGAACGCUUGCGACGUGCCUAAGAAAUGCAAGUCGAACGAGGCAGCAAUGCCGAGUGGCGAACGGUCGCGUAACACGUGGGCAACCUGCCCUGAAGCGGGGGACAACAACUUGAAAGAGUUGCUAAUACCGCAUGUGAAUCGUGGUGGCAUCACCGAGGAUUCAAAGCCGCAAGGCACUUCAGGAUGGGCCCGCGGCCUAUCAGCUAGUUGGUGAGGUAACGGCCCACCAAGGCUUCGACGGGUAGCUGGUCUGAGAGGACGAUCAGCCGGAUUGGGACUGAGAUACGGCCCAGACUCCUACGGGGGCAGCAAUUAGGAAUCUUGCGCAAUGGGCGAAAGCCUGACGCAGCGACGUCGCGUGAAGGAUGAAAUCUUUCGGGAUGUAAACUUCUUUUUUCGGGGAAGUAAACAAAUGACGGUACCGAAGAAUAAAGCCCGGCUAACUACGUGCCAGCAGCCGC